Molecule: ribosomal RNA, 566 nt
Filed under: uncultured bacterium
Lineage: Bacteria
Description: bacterial SSU rRNA
Rfam family: Bacterial small subunit ribosomal RNA
Source: RNAcentral
UACUCCUACGGGAGGCAGCAGUGGGGAAUAUUGGACAAUAGACCGAGAGUCUGAUCCAGCAAUUCUGUGUGCACGAUGAAGUUUUUCGGAAUGUAAAGUGCUUUCAGUUGGGAAGAAAAAAAUGACGGUACCAACAGAAGAAGUGACGGCUAAAUACGUGCCAGCAGCCGCGGUAAUACGUAUGUCACGAGCGUUAUCCGGAUUUAUUGGGCGUAAAGCGCGUCUAGGUGGUUAUGUAAGUCUGAUGUGAAAAUGCAGGGCUCAACUCUGUAUUGCGUUGGAAACUGUAUAACUAGAGUACUGGAGAGGUAAGCGGAACUACAAGUGUAGAGGUGAAAUUCGUAGAUAUUUGUAGGAAUGCCGAUGGGGAAGCCAGCUUACUGGACAGAUACUGACGCUGAAGCGCGAAAGCGUGGGUAGCAAACAGGAUUAGAUACCCUGGUAGUCCACGCCGUAAACGAUGAUUACUAGGUGUUGGGGGUCGAACCUCAGCGCCCAAGCAAACGCGAUAAGUAAUCCGCCUGGGGAGUACGUACGCAAGUAUGAAACUCAAAUGAAUUGACGGA